GACAAAGCCGAAGCAAACUUUCUCAAAACACUACACACAUUUGGAGGACUAACAAGCAAAGACAACAAGAGGGAGUGACACUAGCAAAAAGAGGAUCAACAAAGGGGGUUUUUCUUAAAUUCCUUACAACUUAAUUUGUGUUAAUUACCUCUUAAUUACGCUUUAGACGGUGAGUGUGUCUUCAAGGGCUCAAAGUGUCCAAGAAGCCUCACCUAGGGCCGAAUAGUAUAGCAUUCUUGUUUAGUAAUUGUUACUUGUUUGUAUUUGCUUU
This 271-nucleotide long non-coding RNA is filed under the name Phaseolus vulgaris (common bean). RNAcentral's name for it is "long non-coding RNA (PVUL_LNC000218)". The record is from RNAcentral. Lineage: Eukaryota; Viridiplantae; Streptophyta; Magnoliopsida; Fabales; Fabaceae.